UAGUAUGUAUGCUCUUUUGAC
RNAcentral lists this non-coding RNA (21 nucleotides) under Rattus norvegicus (Norway rat). Lineage: Eukaryota; Metazoa; Chordata; Mammalia; Rodentia; Muridae. The record is from RNAcentral.